RNAcentral lists this ribosomal RNA (254 nucleotides) under uncultured bacterium. RNAcentral describes it as "partial 16S ribosomal RNA". It matches the Rfam family "Bacterial small subunit ribosomal RNA", at positions 524 to 776 of the family's 1533-position model. The record is from RNAcentral.
UACGUAGGGACCAAGCGUUGUUCGGAUUUACUGGGCGUAAAGGGCGCGUAGGCGGCAAUUCAAGUCAUCUGUGAAAUCUCCGGGCUUAACCCGGAACGGUCAGAUGAUACUGCUUUGCUAGAGUGCGGAAGGGGCAAUCGGAAUUCUUGGUGUAGCGGUGAAAAUGCGUAGAUAUCAGGAGGAACACCGGUGGUGUAGACGGCUUUCUGGACCGUAACUGACGCUGAGACACGAAAGCGUGGGUAGCAAACAGG